Non-coding RNA from Podarcis lilfordi (Lilford's wall lizard), 69 nucleotides. NCBI's taxonomy places the organism in Eukaryota, Metazoa, Chordata, Lepidosauria, Squamata, Lacertidae. The record is from the annotation of a GenBank genome assembly.
GCUGUAGCUCAUUCAUAGAGCAUCUGCUUUGCAUGCAGAAGGUCUAUGGUUCAAUGCCUGGCAUCUCCA